AUGGCUCAGGAUGAACGCUAGCUACAGGCUUAACACAUGCAAGUCGAGGGGCAGCAUUGGGAUAGCUGCAUUCAGAUGGCGACCGGCGCACGGGUGAGUAACGCGUAUCCAACCUUCCUGCCAGUAGGGAACAGCCCGGCGAAAGUCGGAUUAAUGCCCUAUGUUCUUCAAUGCGGACAUCUAAGUUGAAGGAAAGAUUCAUCGCUGGCAGAUGGGGAUGCGUCCGAUUAGCUUGCCGGCGGGGUAACGGCCACCGGGGCGACGAUCGGUAGGGGUUCUGAGAGGAAGGUCCCCCACACUGGUACUGAGACACGGACCAGACUCCUACGGGAGGCAGCAGUGAGGAAUAUUGGUCAAUGGGCGUAAGCCUGAACCAGCCAAGUAGCGUGCAAGGAUGACGGCCCUACGGGUUGUAAACUGCUUUUAUGCGGGGAUAAAGUGCGGCACGUGUGCCGCUUUGCAGGUACCGCAUGAAUAGGGACCGGCUAAUUCCGUGCCAGCAGCGGC
This 507-nucleotide ribosomal RNA is filed under the name uncultured bacterium. RNAcentral's name for it is "bacterial SSU rRNA". It matches the Rfam family "Bacterial small subunit ribosomal RNA", at positions 19 to 518 of the family's 1533-position model. The record is from RNAcentral.